RNAcentral lists this ribosomal RNA (448 nucleotides) under uncultured eukaryote. RNAcentral describes it as "partial 18S ribosomal RNA". It matches the Rfam family "Eukaryotic small subunit ribosomal RNA", at positions 592 to 976 of the family's 1831-position model. The record is from RNAcentral.
CAAUAGCGUAUAUUAAAGUUGUUGCAGUUAAAAAGCUCGUAGUUGGAUUUCGGGGCCCCGGGCGUUCGUUGCGUUUCCCGCUGGACUCGUUUCGGUGGGUGCGUGGCGGGCGUCGGUCUCUGAGUCGGAUCGGUCCGCCGAGAGGCGUGUACUGACCGACGGCCCCUGUUGUCUCUCGGGUUGCCCGCCUGCUCUUAACUGUUGCGGACGGGGAGUUCGGGACGUUUACUUUGAACAAAUUAGAGUGUUCCAAGCAGGCCGAUUGCUUUGAAUACAUUAGCAUGGAAUAACACGAUAGGACUCUGGCCUAUCUUGUUGGUCUGUAGGACCGGAGUAAUGAUUAAGAGGGACAGUCGGGGGCAUUCGUAUUUCAUUGUCAGAGGUGAAAUUCUUGGAUUUAUGAAAGACGAACUACUGCGAAAGCAUUUGCCAAGGAUGUUUUCAUUAA